Molecule: ribosomal RNA, 607 nt
Filed under: Pichia terricola
Lineage: Eukaryota; Fungi; Ascomycota; Pichiomycetes; Pichiales; Pichiaceae
Description: eukaryotic LSU rRNA
Rfam family: Eukaryotic large subunit ribosomal RNA
Source: RNAcentral
CCCUCCGCGCGCGGCGGGCGGGGCGNGGGCCAUAUCCAAUAAGCGGAGGAAAAGAAACCAACAGGGAUUGCCUCAGUAGCGGCGAGUGAAGCGGCAAGAGCUCAGAUUUGAAAUCGCCUCGGCGAGUUGUAAAUUGCAGGUUGGAGUCUUUGUGGCGGCGUGUGUCUAAGUCCCUUGGAACAGGGCGCCAUUGAGGGUGAGAGCCCCGUGCGGCACGCGUCCAAGCUUUAAGACCCUUCUGACGAGUCGAGUUGUUUGGGAAUGCAGCUCUAAGUGGGUGGUAAAUUCCAUCUAAGGCUAAAUACUGGCGAGAGACCGAUAGCGAACAAGUACUGUGAAGGAAAGAUGAAAAGCACUUUGAAAAGAGAGUGAAACAGCACGUGAAAUUGUUGAAAGGGAAGGGUAUUGGGCUCGACAUGGGGACUGCGCACCGUUGCUUCUUGUAGGCGGCGCUCUGUGCGGUUUCUGGGCCAGCAUCAGUUUUUGCCGCGGGAGAAUGGGGGGAGGAACGUGGCUCUUCGGAGUGUUAUAGCCUCUCUCAGAUGCCGCGAGCGGGGAUCUGAGGUCUGCGAUUCGUCAAGGAUGCUGGCACAACGCGCAACGGGUG